Molecule: long non-coding RNA, 333 nt
Organism: Marmota monax (woodchuck)
Lineage: Eukaryota; Metazoa; Chordata; Mammalia; Rodentia; Sciuridae
Exons: 5
Source: RefSeq, a predicted model, not a curated record
CCCAGGGUGAUAACAAAGAGCAUGAGGAGACAAGUGAGCUCACAAAAGGAGUCCCGGGAUAUGGUUAUAACAACAAACUCAUCUUGACAAUAUCUGUGACUGUAGUGGCGAUGAUUUUGAUUAUAAUUUUCUGUGUGAUUCAGAUUUAUUCCCAUAAAACAGCACCACAAGAUGAUGAAGAAAAGUCCUUAAGGAGCUGUUUCGGGUUUCUGUGUAGGAGAAGCUCAACGGAAAGUGAAAAUCAGGAGGGCUUUUUCUGGUAAAGGUGGCCACUUUGGCUUAGAGAUACGUACAGACCUCUCAAUGCCACACGUAAGAAAAACAUGGCACAGA